GCGGCUCCGCCUUCCCUGGCUGCGUCAGAGCUGGGACCCCCAGAGGGGCAGUUGGGGGCACUGGCUGGCACCCUGCCGGGGUAAGAGGGGCAGCACAGUGACGGGGUGAGGGGCAGGAUCUGGGCAGGAACGGGCGGAGCCAACAGCUGCUUCCGGUCACUGGAGCCUCCCUGAGCUGCAACAUCCAGGUAUCACCUCAGGUGGGAUUACCCAGAGAGCACCG
Pelobates cultripes (western spadefoot toad) is the source of this 223-nucleotide non-coding RNA. Lineage: Eukaryota; Metazoa; Chordata; Amphibia; Anura; Pelobatidae. The record is from the annotation of a GenBank genome assembly.